Molecule: ribosomal RNA, 267 nt
Filed under: uncultured bacterium
Lineage: Bacteria
Description: partial 16S ribosomal RNA
Rfam family: Bacterial small subunit ribosomal RNA
Source: RNAcentral
UACGUAGGUGGCAAGCGUUGUCCGGAUUUACUGGGCGUAAAGAGUAUGUAGGCGGACAUUUAAGUAGAAAGUGAAAGGUUGGAGCUUAACUCCAACACUGCUUCCUAUACUGGGUGUCUUGAGUGCCGGAGAGGAAAGCGGAACGACACGUGUAGCGGUGAAAUGCGUUGAUAUGUGUCGGAACACCAAUGGCGAAGGCAGCUUUCUGGACGGAGCCGCAAGGCUUAAAACUGACGCUGAGAUACGAAAGCGUGGGGAGCGAACAGG